This 292-nucleotide ribosomal RNA is filed under the name uncultured bacterium. Its description in RNAcentral is "partial 16S ribosomal RNA". The record is from RNAcentral.
GGACUACUGGGGUUUCUAAUCCUGUUUGCUCCCCACGCUUUCGCGCCUCAGCGUCAGUCUCGGUCCAGAGCGCCGCCUUCGCCACCGGUGUUCUUCCCAAUAUCUACGAAUUUCACCUCUACACUGGGAAUUCCACGCUCCUCUCCCGAUCUCUAGUUCCGCCGUUUCGAGCGCACCUCCCAGGUUGAGCCCGGGGCUUUCACACUCGACAAACAAAACCGCCUGCGCCCCCUUUACGCCCAGUAAAUCCGAACAACGCUCGCCCCCUUCGUAUUACCGCGGCGGCUGGCAC